Molecule: transfer RNA, 72 nt
Filed under: Prevotellaceae bacterium
Lineage: Bacteria; Pseudomonadati; Bacteroidota; Bacteroidia; Bacteroidales; Prevotellaceae
Description: tRNA-Arg
Rfam family: tRNA
About the family: Transfer RNA (tRNA) molecules are approximately 80 nucleotides in length. Their secondary structure includes four short double-helical elements and three loops (D, anti-codon, and T loops). Further hydrogen bonds mediate the characteristic L-shaped molecular structure. tRNAs have two regions of fundamental functional importance: the anti-codon, which is responsible for specific mRNA codon recognition, and the 3' end, to which the tRNAs corresponding amino acid is attached (by aminoacyl-tRNA synthetases). tRNAs cope with the degeneracy of the genetic code in two manners: having more than one tRNA (with a specific anti-codon) for a particular amino acid; and 'wobble' base-pairing, i.e. permitting non-standard base-pairing at the 3rd anti-codon position.
Source: RNAcentral
GCCCUUGUAGUUCAACGGAUAGAACGGAAGUUUCCUAAACUUUAAAUAGCGGUUCGAUUCCGCUCAGGGGUA